Unclassified non-coding RNA from Nomascus leucogenys (northern white-cheeked gibbon), 96 nucleotides. It matches the Rfam family "Y RNA". From Rfam's summary of the family: Y RNAs are components of the Ro ribonucleoprotein particle (Ro RNP), in association with Ro60 and La proteins. The Y RNAs and Ro60 and La proteins are well conserved, but the function of the Ro RNP is not known. The record is from Ensembl. NCBI's taxonomy places the organism in Eukaryota, Metazoa, Chordata, Mammalia, Primates, Hylobatidae.
AGCUGGUCUGAUGGUAGUGGGUUAUUAGAACUUAUAAAUAUUAGUGUCACUGAAGUUGGUAUACAACCCCCCACUGCUAAAUUUGACUGGCUUAAA